UGCUGGCUCUAGCUCUCGCGAUCAGCAAAGUGCUGCCUACCAUCCAGAUUGCUUAUGUGUUGAGGUAAGUAAUAUCAUUGUCUUUUCACUUCAGAACACAUUUUAUAUACAAUUUUACUAACUACAAAAUUAAUCAGGAAUGUGGUCGACUGAAGCAGUUGAUUGAUAAGGAAAUAACCAAGCUCCAAGCGGAGAACAAGGGGUUGAAAGAGGAGCUUAUGUCGAUGAAGUCAGAACUCUCUAAGAUGAAUGUAAACAUGCGUCAAUCAAACAAUUCUUUGAAGCUCAAUGAGGUCAUUCAGAGUCACAAUGUGUUGAAAGAUAGCUUGAGUGACAUCAGGUUG
This 344-nucleotide long non-coding RNA is filed under the name Olea europaea (common olive). RNAcentral describes it as "long non-coding RNA (OEUR_LNC007580)". Lineage: Eukaryota; Viridiplantae; Streptophyta; Magnoliopsida; Lamiales; Oleaceae. The record is from RNAcentral.